Molecule: ribosomal RNA, 329 nt
Filed under: uncultured eukaryote
Lineage: Eukaryota
Description: partial 18S ribosomal RNA
Rfam family: Eukaryotic small subunit ribosomal RNA
Source: RNAcentral
CCCUUAGAUGUUCUGGGCCGCACGCGCGCUACACUGACAGGGUCAGCGAGUACAUCACCUUGGCCGAGAGGUCCGGGUAAUCUUGUUAAACCCUGUCGUGCUGGGGAUAGAGCAUUGCAAUUAUUGCUCUUCAACGAGGAAUGCCUAGUAGGCACGAGUCAUCAGCUCGUGCCGAUUACGUCCCUGCCCUUUGUACACACCGCCCGUCGCUACUACCGAUUGAAUGGCUUGGUGAGGCCUUCGGACUGGCUCCAGGGGGUUGGCAACGACCCCCCAGAGCCGGAAAGUUGGUCAAACCUGGUCAUUUAGAGGAAGUAAAANUCGUAACA